CAAGUAAAUCGCCUUAUCGCUGCUUAUUAAAAUAAGUGGAGGAAAGUCCGGACACCAAAGUGCAACAUAGUGGCUAAUAACCACCAGUCGUGAGGCUAGGAAAAGUGCAACAGAAAGUAUGUACAGGUCAUGCUGUAGUGAAACCAGGUAAACUCUAUGUGGUGCAAUGUCAUGUAUACCAACGUUUGAGGGCUGCACGCUCGAUUGUUGGAGGGUAGGCAGCUAAAGUGUAUUGGUAACAAUACACUCAGAUAAAUGAUAAGGGCUCUUUUUGAGUACAGAAUUCGGCUUAUAGAUUUACUUUACCA
Molecule: RNase P RNA, 308 nt
Filed under: Flaviramulus basaltis
Lineage: Bacteria; Pseudomonadati; Bacteroidota; Flavobacteriia; Flavobacteriales; Flavobacteriaceae
Description: Bacterial RNase P class A
Rfam family: Bacterial RNase P class A
About the family: Ribonuclease P (RNase P) is a ubiquitous endoribonuclease, found in archaea, bacteria and eukarya as well as chloroplasts and mitochondria. Its best characterised activity is the generation of mature 5'-ends of tRNAs by cleaving the 5'-leader elements of precursor-tRNAs.
Source: Rfam by way of RNAcentral